AUGGCGACGCAGAGGGACACCCGGCACCCAUCUGUCCCUGUCAGGGCUCUUGUUCUCACAGCCCCCUGGAGCGUGCCCCGUGCCCCACCUUGGGCCUGGCUCCUGGCCCAGAUGGCAUCUGGCCUCUUGAGUCUGGUGGAGGACCCCAAAGCUGGUGGUCCCAUAGGCUGCCCUCCUGGGUCUCCACCUCAUGCCUGGACAGGACGCUGUGGCCUGUCCGGGCCUUGGCCGGCCCUGCAGCUGCACCCCCGAUCCUCAUCCUGCAACCCAUUCCUUGUUAGCAUCCUGAGACUCCUGGCGGGCAUCCUCUCUGCUCAAGAGUGUUGACCUGUCUCCCGGCCGCACCUGCUGUGCCCCCUCAGCCAAGCCAUCAUCAUCCCCCCUUCAUCACGUCAGGCCUCAUAGGAACCAGGCCUUCUCCAGAAGCUGCCCUGACCUCCCCCAAGCUGGACCACGUAGGCCCUGGAUCACACCUGGGGGUUCAGAUGUGGGGGUCCUGUGUGCACACCCAAUCAGACUGAGCACUCAUGAUACUACCCCAGCACCUCUCCCAGGGUUAAAUGAGGAAUGCGCCACUGGACACAUGAGGAAGAGGCUGUUCUGGGAGCCGCCAGUGCUGUGCCCUCACCUCUCUGACUUUGUACAGCAGGUUCCUGCACCUAGGAUGCCUGCCUGGAAAUGUCCUCACAUUCAAGGCCUCCUUUGCAGCCUCCUCCUCAGUGAAGCCUCCACACGUGCACAGGGCGUGUGCACAGCCUUGUGAAGGGCUGGGACCAUUUCCCCAGACUGGGGCCUCAGGAGCAGGCAUGGGGUCCUCCUGACCUGUCUCCCCAGCUCCUGUACAGAAAACAUCUAAAAUAAACACACAUGGAUGGAAAGCGUU
Chlorocebus sabaeus (green monkey) is the source of this 883-nucleotide non-coding RNA. NCBI's taxonomy places the organism in Eukaryota, Metazoa, Chordata, Mammalia, Primates, Cercopithecidae. The record is from RefSeq and is a predicted model, not a curated record.